This 30-nucleotide non-coding RNA is filed under the name Mus musculus (house mouse). Lineage: Eukaryota; Metazoa; Chordata; Mammalia; Rodentia; Muridae. The record is from RNAcentral.
UAGGAGCCUCCCUUGCAGAGUUUACAAUGU